GGGUUGUGAGGUUAAGCGACUAAGCGUACACGGUGGAUGCCCCGGCAGUCAGAGGCGAUGAAGGGCGUGCUAAUCUGCGAUAAGCGCCGGUAAGGUGAUAUGAACCGUUAUAACCGGCGAUACCCGAAUGGGGAAACCCAGUGUGAUUCGUCACACUAUCAUUAACUGAAUCCAUAGGUUAAUGAGGCGAACCGGGGAACUGAAACAUCUAAGUACCCCGAGGAAAAGAAAUCAACCGAGAUUCCCCCAGUAGCGGCGAGCGAACGGGGAGGAGCCCAGAGCCUGAAUCAGCAUGUGUGUUAGUGGAAGCGUCUGGAAAGGCGCGCGAUACAGGGUGACAGCCCCGUACACAAAAGCGCAUGUGCUGUGAGCUCGAUGAGUAGGGCGGGACACGUGGUAUCCUGUCUGAAUAUGGGGGGACCAUCCUCCAAGGCUAAAUACUCCUGACUGACCGAUAGUGAACCAGUACCGUGAGGGAAAGGCGAAAAGAACCCCGGCGAGGGGAGUGAAAAAGAACCUGAAACCGUGUACGUACAAGCAGUGGGAGCACAGGUUUACCUGUGUGACUGCGUACCUUUUGUAUAAUGGGUCAGCGACUUAUAUUCUGUAGCAAGGUUAACCGAAUAGGGGCCGGAGGGAAACCGAGUCUUAAUUGGGCGUUAAGUUGCAGGGUAUAGACCCGAAACCCGGUGAUUCAGCCAUGGGCAGGUUGAAGGUUGGGUAACACUAACUGGAGGACCGAACCGACUAAUGUUGAAAAAUUAGCGGAUGACCUGUGGCUGGGGGUGAAAGGCCAAUCAAACCGGGAGAUAGCUGGUUCUCCCCGAAAGCUAUUUAGGUAGCGCCUCGUGAAUUCAUCUCCGGGGGUAGAGCACUGUUUCGGCUAGGGGGCCAUCCCGGCUUACCAACCCGAUGCAAACUGCGAAUACCGGAGAAUGUUAUCACGGGAGACACACGGCGGGUGCUAACGUCCGUCGUGAAGAGGGAAACAACCCAGACCGCCAGCUAAGGUCCCAAAGUCAUGGUUAAGUGGGAAACGAUGUGGGAAGGCCCAGACAGCCGGGAUGUUGGCUUAGAAGCAGCCAUCAUUUAAAGAAAGCGUAAUAGCUCACUGGUCGAGUCGGCCUGCGCGGAAGAUGUAACGGGGCUAAACCAUGCACCGAAGCUGCGGCAGCGAACGUAUCACCCAAGACAACUUUACGGAGUUGACGAUUGACGGAGCGAAGCGACGUCAAAGCGUUCAUUAAAGUCGAGUUGGCUUAGGGAUACGUUCGUUGGGUAGGGGAGCGUUCUGUAAGCCUGUGAAGGUGUGUCGUGAGGCAUGCUGGAGGUAUCAGAAGUGCGAAUGCUGACAUAAGUAACGAUAAAGCGGGUGAAAAGCCCGCUCGCCGGAAGACCAAGGGUUCCUGUCCAACGUUAAUCGGGGCAGGGUGAGUCGACCCCUAAGGCGAGGCCGAAAGGCGUAGUCGAUGGGAAACGGGUUAAUAUUCCCGUACUUGGUGUUACUGCGAAGGGGGACGGAGAAGGCUAUGUUGGCCGGGCGACGGUUGUCCCGGUUUAAGCGUGUAGGUGUGUGUUCCGGGUAAAUCCGGUUCACUUUAACACUGAGGCGUGACGACGAGGCACUACGGUGCUGAAGCAACAAAUGCCCUGCUUCCGGGAAAAGCCUCUAAGCAUCAGGUAACACGAAAUCGUACCCCAAACCGACACAGGUGGUCAGGUAGAGAAUACCAAGGCGCUUGAGAGAACUCGGGUGAAGGAACUAGGCAAAAUGGUGCCGUAACUUCGGGAGAAGGCACGCUGACACGUAGGUGAAGUGAUUUACUCAUGGAGCUGAAGUCAGUCGAAGAUACCAGCUGGCUGCAACUGUUUAUUAAAAACACAGCACUGUGCAAACACGAAAGUGGACGUAUACGGUGUGACGCCUGCCCGGUGCCGGAAGGUUAAUUGAUGGGGUCAGCGUAAGCGAAGCUCCUGAUCGAAGCCCCGGUAAACGGCGGCCGUAACUAUAACGGUCCUAAGGUAGCGAAAUUCCUUGUCGGGUAAGUUCCGACCUGCACGAAUGGCGUAAUGAUGGCCGGCUGUCUCCACCCGAGACUCAGUGAAAUUGAACUCGCUGUGAAGAUGCAGUGUACCCGCGGCAAGACGGAAAGACCCCGUGAACCUUUACUAUAGCUUGACACUGAACAUUGAGCCUUGAUGUGUAGGAUAGGUGGGAGGCUUUGAAGUGUGGACGCCAGUCUGCAUGGAGCCGACCUUGAAAUACCACCCUUUAAUGUUUGAUGUUCUAACGUGGACCCGUAAUCCGGGUUGCGGACAGUGUCUGGUGGGUAGUUUGACUGGGGCGGUCUCCUCCUAAAGAGUAACGGAGGAGCACGAAGGUUGGCUAAUCUGGUCGGACAUCAGGAGGUUAGUGCAAUGGCAUAAGCCAGCUUGACUGCGAGCGUGACGGCGCGAGCAGGUGCGAAAGCAGGUCAUAGUGAUCCGGUGGUUCUGAAUGGAAGGGCCAUCGCUCAACGGAUAAAAGGUACUCCGGGGAUAACAGGCUGAUACCGCCCAAGAGUUCAUAUCGACGGCGGUGUUUGGCACCUCGAUGUCGGCUCAUCACAUCCUGGGGCUGAAGUAGGUCCCAAGGGUAUGGCUGUUCGCCAUUUAAAGUGGUACGCGAGCUGGGUUUAGAACGUCGUGAGACAGUUCGGUCCCUAUCUGCCGUGGGCGCUGGAGAACUGAGGGGGCUGCUCCUAGUACGAGAGGACCGGAGUGGACGCAUCACUGGUGUUCGGGUUGUCAUGCCAAUGGCACUGCCCGGUAGCUAAAUGCGGAAGAGAUAAGUGCUGAAAGCAUCUAAGCACGAAACUUGCCCCGAGAUGAGUUCUCCCUGAGACUUAGAGUCUCCUGAAGGAACGUUGAAGACGACGACGUUGAUAGGCCGGGUGUGUAAGCGCAGCGAUGCGUUGAGCUAACCGGUACUAAUGAACCGUGAGGCUUAACCUUACAACGCCGAAG
RNAcentral lists this ribosomal RNA (3006 nucleotides) under Salmonella enterica subsp. enterica serovar Typhimurium. RNAcentral describes it as "23S ribosomal RNA". It matches the Rfam family "Bacterial large subunit ribosomal RNA". The record is from RNAcentral. Lineage: Bacteria; Pseudomonadati; Pseudomonadota; Gammaproteobacteria; Enterobacterales; Enterobacteriaceae.